Molecule: long non-coding RNA, 790 nt
Organism: Dipodomys spectabilis (banner-tailed kangaroo rat)
Lineage: Eukaryota; Metazoa; Chordata; Mammalia; Rodentia; Heteromyidae
Exons: 3
Source: RefSeq, a predicted model, not a curated record
UCCCUUUACUUUUAAAAUCUGUGUCUCCAAAUUCCUCAAACCACAAACAUGAGUGGAAGGAUGGGGGGACGAAAUUUUCUGAUGACACAGAGACACCCAUGAUGAUGAACCCAUCAGAAGGCAACUCAAGAGCUAUCAAACCAGACUCUGACAUGUGACAUUUGGGCCCAUGGAAAAUCAGGUGAAUUUGACAGAGCACAUGAACAAACAUACAAAACUUCCUGCCUGUUGUCAGGACAGAAAUCGCCUGGUGUCAGAUGCCAUGUCUCUCACAUUGUUCCCAGAGUGAAUCUCAAGUUGCAUACAUUAUGCCAAUAUAGAUAAAACUGGUUGUUCUUAAAUAUUUAGUUUCAAUUCUUCCAAAUCUACAGAUUAUACUUGUGUGCAUUCCUCCUCCUCAAUAACUGAAACCAAGUUUACUGUUUAGUUUUACUUUAGUGGUUCAGAUAAUUUUUACUAUUUAGCUUUGCAGUUACCAUGAAUUUUGCCAACUUAGUUGUUUAAAUAUCAAUGACAAAAGCAGGGGUAAUAUAAUCAUUAUACUCAAUAAUUUCUAAUAGGGAGCCACCUUGCAGAUUGUCACUGGUCUGUGAGCUGAUAGUAUAAAUCGUUCAGUUUGUUAAAAAUGUAAGAGUCGUUCUUUACCUUCAUUACACAUUUCUGCAUUGGUUCAUUAUGGAACAAUGAGAAAAAAGCCAAGGGGAUUUUUGCCCCUAAGCUUGUGCUUGAGACAUUUGAACCUUAUCAACCUUUACUCCUUUAUAAAUGUUAAUAAAUGUUCCCAAGGAGA